This 361-nucleotide long non-coding RNA is filed under the name Nicotiana benthamiana. RNAcentral's name for it is "long non-coding RNA (NBEN_LNC036898)". Lineage: Eukaryota; Viridiplantae; Streptophyta; Magnoliopsida; Solanales; Solanaceae. The record is from RNAcentral.
CAAAAUAUUCUGAAAAGGGUUACAAAGAGCUGAGCUGAAAAUACUUGGAAAUUCUUGCAUAUUUUGGGUAAAAAUUGGUCUGAUUUGAUAAUUUUCUCCCUAUUUUGAAAUCUUCAAAAACUUUCUUGUUUAUUCUGGGAUUCAAAGAAUGAUUUGAAGGCUGCUAGUCAAUGUUCUAUUGCUGGUUUUUGAGUUGAUUCUGUUGCUACUUCUUCUUUGCUGAAUUGCUCUUGCUACUGAUUCAUAACUUCAAGCUGUUAGUGUUGUUUAUUUGCUAUAACAAGGUACUCAUUGCACCUCAUUAACAUCUUGAAAUGAAAGGCUAUGAAGCUAUUGAUUGAGCUUGAAAAUUAGUGAUGCC